RNAcentral lists this RNase P RNA (399 nucleotides) under Limisphaerales bacterium. Its description in RNAcentral is "Verrucomicrobia subdivision 3 bacterium (sediment metagenome) RNase P RNA component class A". It matches the Rfam family "Bacterial RNase P class A". From Rfam's summary of the family: Ribonuclease P (RNase P) is a ubiquitous endoribonuclease, found in archaea, bacteria and eukarya as well as chloroplasts and mitochondria. Its best characterised activity is the generation of mature 5'-ends of tRNAs by cleaving the 5'-leader elements of precursor-tRNAs. Cellular RNase Ps are ribonucleoproteins. Lineage: Bacteria; Pseudomonadati; Verrucomicrobiota; Verrucomicrobiia; Limisphaerales. The record is from RNAcentral.
CUGGAGGGGCGGAGGCUCGCUCCCGGUUCGCCGGGGGAGGAAAGUCCGAACACCACAGGGCGCGAUGCCGCGUAACCCCGGGCUCCGGCCCGGGCAUACACACGGGCGGUGCGGUCGCGAGACCCGCCGACGGACAGUGCCACAGAAAACAAACCGCCGGCCGUCCUCGGACGACCGGCAAGGGUGAAAAGGUGGGGUAAGAGCCCACCGCUCGCUGCGUAAGCGUCGAGGCACGGAAAACCCCAUCGGGUGCAAGGCCAAAUAGGGGAUCGAGAGCGCGACCCGCGCCGUGCCCCGUGCAAGCGGGGCAGAUCCCGGGUAAGGCCGCUCAGAUAAAUGAGCCUCUCCCCCGCCUGCAAGCGGGGCAGACAGAAUUCGGCUUACAGCCCCUCCAGAGUU